GGCGAGUGAAGCGGCAACAGCUCAAAUUUGAAAUCUGGCUUCGGCCCGAGUUGUAAUUUGCAGAGGAAGCUUUAGGCGCGGCACCUUCUGAGUCCCCUGGAACGGGGCGCCAUAGAGGGUGAGAGCCCCGUAUAGUUGGAUGCCUAGCCUGUGUAAAGCUCCUUCGACGAGUCGAGUAGUUUGGGAAUGCUGCUCAAAAUGGGAGGUAAAUUUCUUCUAAAGCUAAAUACCGGCCAGAGACCGAUAGCGCACAAGUAGAGUGAUCGAAAGAUGAAAAGCACUUUGAAAAGAGGGUUAAAUAGCACGUGAAAUUGUUGAAAGGGAAGCGCUUGUGACCAGACUUGCGCCGGGCGGAUCAUCCGGUGUUCUCACCGGUGCACUCCGCCCGGCUCAGGCCAGCAUCGGUUCUCGCGGGGGGAUAAAGGUCCUGGGAACGUAGCUCCUCCGGGAGUGUUAUAGCCCGGGGCGUAAUGCCCUCGCGGGGACCGAGGUUCGCGCAUCUGCAAGGAUGCUGGCGUAAUGGUCAUCAGCGACCCGUCUUGAAACACGGACCAAGGAGUCAAGGUUUUGCGCGAGUGUUUGGGUGUAAAACCCGCACGCGUAAUGAAAGUGAACGUAGGUGAGAGCUUCGGCGCAUCAUCGACCGAUCCUGAUGUUUUCGGAUGGAUUUGAGUAGGAGCGUUAAGCCUUGGACCCGAAAGAUGGUGAACUAUGCUUGGAUAGGGUGAAGCCAGAGGAAACUCUGGUGGAGGCUCGCAGCGGUUCUGACGUGCAAAUCGAUCGUCAAAUCUGAGCAUGGGGGCGAAAGACUAAUCGAACCAUCUAGUAGCUGGUUACCGCCGAAGUUUCCCUCAGGAUAGCAGUGUUGUCUUCAGUUUUAUGAGGUAAAGCGAAUGAUUAGGGACUCGGGGGCGCUUUUAGCCUUCUCCAUUCUCAACUUUAAUAUGU
Molecule: ribosomal RNA, 948 nt
Filed under: Chaetomium globosum
Lineage: Eukaryota; Fungi; Ascomycota; Sordariomycetes; Sordariales; Chaetomiaceae
Description: partial large subunit ribosomal RNA
Rfam family: Eukaryotic large subunit ribosomal RNA
Source: RNAcentral